This 279-nucleotide ribosomal RNA is filed under the name uncultured bacterium. RNAcentral describes it as "partial 16S ribosomal RNA". It matches the Rfam family "Bacterial small subunit ribosomal RNA", at positions 28 to 303 of the family's 1533-position model. The record is from RNAcentral.
GAUGAACGCUAGCGGCAGGCUUAAUACAUGCAAGUCGUGGGGCAGCACAGUGUAGCGAUACAUGGGUGGCGACCGGCAAACGGGUGCGGAACACGUACGCAACCUUCCUUUAACUGGAGAAUAGCCCCUCGAAAGAGGGAUUAAUACUCCGUAAUAUCCCGAUGUGGCAUCAUGACGGGAUUAUAGCUCCGGCGGUUAGAGAUGGGCGUGCGCCUGAUUAGGAGUUGGCGGGGUAAUGGCCCACCAAGCCUGCGAUCAGUAACUGGUGUGAGAGCACGA